This 1095-nucleotide long non-coding RNA is filed under the name Phasianus colchicus (ring-necked pheasant). RNAcentral's name for it is "lncRNA (ENSPCLG00000011832.1)". The record is from RNAcentral. Lineage: Eukaryota; Metazoa; Chordata; Aves; Galliformes; Phasianidae.
AUGUGUCAGGGAAAGCAUUUAUCAAAGCCAACAAUCCCACAGUUUUAUUUCCUCCUUGUCAGAAGGAAACUGGGCCCUUGCUCAGCUCCCUUACAGGAGCCCUGGAUGCGCCAGCCCGGAUCGAACAUCCCGCCUCCAGCACUGCCGGCUCCGCCGCAGGACACCGACCUGCGCAGCGGCACCGCUGGCACGGCCGGGCCCCCAGCCCUGCGGGGACGCCAGGAGGCCGACGGCCCCUCAGCCUCCCUGACUGCGAGGUGCUGCAGCCGCGGAGCUCUCCGAGCUCGGGGCCAGGCCUGGCGCAGCGCUGCGGACGGAGCGGAGCGGGGCGGGGCGGACGGCCCCUCCCUGAGCCCCGCCGUGCGGCCCGGGGCUCCGCUGCCUCCCAGACCCCGAGCGCCGUCCGGCCGCCACGCGCGGCUCCGCUGUGGGGCACGGAGGGGUGCGGGAGGUGCGGGCCGGGCCCGGCCUGGCAGCGCGGAUGGGAGCUGCGGCUGGGGGACGCUAAAUGCUUCCCCUCGCUCCGUGCGAGGCGGCCGUGAGGGAAAAGGGGCCGAGAGGAGAUGGCCGGGGGAGCGGGCAGGUGGAGGACGGAGAGGAGCGGGACGGGCGGCAUCGGGGAUUCACUGCGCUUGUUCGCGUGUAAACAAGAGCUUCCUAUUGCCCCAUUAUCUGCUCGACAGAAACAGCGGGCUCUGGCCCCUGGCGGGAGCAGCGCAGACGCUCCGGAGCAGCUCCACCUCCGCGGGCCGCGCGGCUGGGACUGACCGAGGCACGAGGCCAAAGCAGCCGCAGCACGGCUCAGCCAAUCAGCUGCCGCCACCUCUUCACACCCACCAAUCUCGUCCCGCCCUACCUCACGGCGAGGCUAUAAAUCCCAGCGGUGUGAGGCGGGCCUGCACUGUGGCGGUUUGGGCGCAGAGUCACGGAAUGGCCGAGGCUGGAAGGGGCCUCAAGGAUCACGAAGCUCCAACCCCCCGCCGCAUGCGGGGCCACCAACCUCCGCGUUUAGUACCAGCCCAGGCUGCCCAGGGCUUCGUCCAGCCUGGCCUUGAACACCUCCAGGGAUGGACGGGGCAUCCACAGCCCCUCUAG